AAUUAGCUCAGCUGGUUAGAGCGUCGGAUUGUGGUUCCGAAGGUCGUGGGUUCGAAACCCACAUU
RNAcentral lists this transfer RNA (65 nucleotides) under human gut metagenome. It matches the Rfam family "tRNA", at positions 5 to 66 of the family's 71-position model. Rfam says of the family: Transfer RNA (tRNA) molecules are approximately 80 nucleotides in length. The record is from RNAcentral. RNAcentral also lists the same sequence under 3 other names.